AUUGAACGCUGGCGGCAUGCCUUACACAUGCAAGUCGAACGGCAGCACGGGAGCUUGUUCCUGGUGGCGAGUGGCGAACGGGUGAGUAAUACAUCGGAACGUACCCUGAAGUGGGGGAUAACGUAGCGAAAGUUACGCUAAUACCGCAUAUUCUGUGAGCAGGAAAGAGGGGGAUCGCAAGACCUCUUGCUUUAGGAGCGGCCGAUGUCGGAUUAGCUAGUUGGUGAGGUAAAGGCUCACCAAGGCGACGAUCCGUAGCGGGUCUGAGAGGAUGAUCCGCCACACUGGGACUGAGACACGGCCCAGACUCCUACGGGAGGCAGCAGUGGGGAAUUUUGGACAAUGGGCGCAAGCCUGAUCCAGCCAUGCCGCGUGAGUGAAGAAGGCC
This 388-nucleotide ribosomal RNA is filed under the name uncultured bacterium. RNAcentral's name for it is "bacterial SSU rRNA". It matches the Rfam family "Bacterial small subunit ribosomal RNA", at positions 30 to 416 of the family's 1533-position model. The record is from RNAcentral.